UUAACGAUGCCCUUAGGCAAAGGGAACUUGUUGAAUAUCUCAUCUUGAAAUCCUAACUUCAGUAGCAAGCCUUUUUUGUAGAGAUCAUCAAUCUCUCCGAAGUCAGAAAAGUCAUCAGCUAAAAUACUAGCUUUAAGCGACGGAACAAGGUGGUGUAACACCGCUUUUAACCUCCCUGCGGCGAAAGUGUCCUGCUUAGUCUCUUCAAAUUGCUCGUCUCGUGGCACGUACAUAGGUAAUGGCUUUUCCACUCGGCUCUCCGCUUCAUUAUCUGCCAACAAUGCAGAUAAAACAUCAGAUACAUUUUUUUCACAGUACCAGUCAUGGACAAUUGGACAUGACCAAAUGAAACAUUGGCUGUAGAACUUCAAAAAAAUUAGAGUCAAUUUAUAAAAAUGUAUCUCUCCAAUUUUUUAAUUUUUUUUAAAAAAAAUCGUUAAUUACUGACUUGUUUAUCGUCUCAAAAUUUCAUGAUCCGCUUGAUUUCAUAACACCCAAAACACAUAUACUAUUAGAGAUAUUGUUUUUAAGAAUGUUGUUAUGAAUUGUACCGGUAUCAGUUGGCUGGCGACCAGUGCGACACCGUCUAGGGUAAGGCCUCUCUCUGCCACCGAGUUUCGGACGAGAGAGUUCAGAUGACUUGUCGGGAUUUCCAAGAUCGUUGUAGACAUCAAAGUCAUAGAUUCUGUCUGAUAACUUCCUGACUCCAGUCCCAUCUCCUCGUAGAUUCUUCAACUCUUUCCCCCUUAGUUUUCUUAAUCCUUCAGGUGUCUCACUCGGCAAAAACGGCUGCACACAAAUUAACAUAACUUGAUUUUUAAUAAUUUAUAACCACAUAUUAUUUAUGGGAAUAUAGUUGAAAGCUGGCUAAUAAGUAUUAUUAUAUGGACCCACCAGACAUGAAUAUUGGAGAAGAUUUUGAAACUGAUUAGUAUAUGUGAUUAAUUCGUUGGAGAUCGAAAAUGACGUGACUUAAAUGGUCUGGGACCGUAAUUAAUUAUGUAUCAGUCAGAUAUUUUAAUCAGUAGGAUCCAUGUGCUCAGUUUUCGUUCUAUUUGAUUUAUAAACAAAUCAACCAUAAAUUUUAAAGAAAAAAAUACGAAAAUAGAAGAAAAUCUACUUUGAGCUUAUUACAUCUUUGGAAAAGAAUGCAUGUCUUCUAUUUCUAUAUAUUGAUUACUCGCGUGAGAGCCACUUGGUCCACACAUGGACUUAUGUACAAUUGUACUUAUAUAUGUCGUUUAUUUGUCAUCUUUCUCUACGUCACUAACAAGCUCAGCUCGAUUGAGGUUGUUGGCUUUUUGUCUGAUAAAUCUAAUUAAGUUGAUUACUCUGCAUCAUUGGAUCAGAAUCAACCAGACACAAAUAGCUUUUUGUACGUUCGAUUUUUCUACCCAACUUAAGGUUCGUAUGUAUGUCAGAUUAGGUUAAAACCAUAAGAACAAACCUUGUCUUGACUCUUUAGUGUAUAUCUCGAUCUGCCUUAAUUUCCCUGAUGAAAAGGUACAAAUAUAUAUUUUAUACGUCUGAGGAGAUAGUGUGUGACCCAAGUUAGGUCAGAACCCAAGAAGCCUUGGUUUUAGGUCCAAUUUAAAGUUGAAACAGAGCCACUUUGAAGUUUUCUUUUGAAAAAUUUAAGUUGAGCAAUCGAGAUCUCCAUGAUCCAAUUCGAAAGGGAGUCACUUUGAAGUUAUCUAUAAAAUGAGCCCAAAUCAUAAUCCAUCGUCGCAACAAUAAGCAUAUGGUAUUUUAAAUUUUCAAAUUUCAUAAAUUUUAUGGUCUUUUGGGCCAUAAUUAACCGGAGAUGAACAAAUCCAUUGUCUGAAUAUAUUUCAAAAUAUUAUGAAUAUGAAUUUAAAUCUAGCUUCGAGAACAUAUCUGCAAAAUUCAAAUGUACCAAUUUAUAUAUUUUAUUUCAUUUUCAAAAAUCAUAUAUAACAGAUUUCUACAUUUUCUCCUAUAUUUAAUCUCAUUCUAUAUCGAUACACUAUUAGGUACACCUCUGCACGUAACACCUGGCUCAGAACUCGGAACCAACAACUCGUAAGGCAAAACUCCAGCUCCACACCUGUUUCUACGGUUAGGAUCACUGUUUCUUUUCUCAAUCUCUUUUUCUAUCCGUCCAAUCUCCGCCGCAAAUCCAUAAAACGCAUCAACAAUCUCCGCAUCUCCGGUCCAAGUGGACGGUUGUUGUCUCUCCCCGAUAUACUCCUCAUCCGGAGAAUGCGUUGACAACGUAUCAACCACCGCCAUAAACUUCGACGUUUGCAACAAACUCGGCAUCGAAGAAAAAUAAAAUUUCUCAGGAUCCGAGAUAAAACUUGCGUACUCCGGAUCCGACUCGUCAGGGAUUAACCGUCGCAUCAGCGGAGGUCGGUUUGGGACGUAACCUCCAUACGGAUACUGUCCGAAGUUGAGAGCGGCGUGUUGAGCGGAGGCGAGCCAGACUAGUGUGGUGAGGAUGGAGACUAGGUCGUCCACGGUGUCUAACUUUGGCCACCACUCGGCUUCGCGGAGAUCUGCAUGGCCUACGUUGAUUGACUCCGAGUACCACGAUUGGAGUUCCGAGUCUGUUUGAAUUGAGUUCGAGUUUGGAUAGUAACGUUCCACGUAAGUUCGGACCCAUGUUUGGAUUGCGGACCAUAUUAGAAGACCGUCGUUCGCAUAUGGAUAGUCUUCGAUCAGGAGUUUAAGUCCAUGUGGUUGUGUUGGGUCUGGAACUGCCAUUCCUCUAAAAAACAAAAUAAAACGAUCAAUAUUAGAUAUCAUACGUAUAAAAUUGUGUUUGACAUAAUCAAGAAUAGUAUAUGUCUAACAAAGUUUAGCUACAAUACCUGCGAAUGAGAUCGGCAGGGAGGCCUUCCAUGUCGAACCGCCAACUACUUUUGUAGGCUGCGGAGCUCAUUUCCAAACCGUAUUGGCCAGCAGUGAAGCCUCCUUCAAUCACACCGUCUGCACUGAUCAAUGAUUGUCUAGCCAGUGCAUUGAUCUCCAACGUAUACCUCAUGUGUGGAUCCAAUAGUUUGAAUAUCGGAUGCAUAGCGCUUAAUUGCCUAUGUGCAGCUAUUAUAAACGGUUCCAAGCAUGCAUGGGUUCGUAACCUUUAGAACAAAAAUUGAUAAAUAUAUCAAUAACUCUAUAUUCAUUAUUAACAACUUGUUACAUAAAUGAUUAGUAAGUUAACGUUUUGAGUACUAACCAGUGGUUAACAAGUUGGUGGACUCCAGCAUCGUUGGAGCUAACAUGUGCUUUAGCGAGCUGCCACACCCAGUUAGAGGUUGCAUCGACAGGAGGUGUAACAACUCGUUUGGAUCGGUGGUUCGGGCCAUGGGAAGGGAGGCUUAGCUCGAUGGCUACGGGCUUAAGUGUUCCAAGACGAGUCAAGAAGAAAAUGGUUCGAGUAGCAUAUGCUUUGCGUCCAUCGAGCGCAUUGAUUUGGUCUAGGAACGGUAAGAAUAUGUCAUGGUAAUCCAACAUAUACAAUCUGUUCUCUUCCAACGCCUGAAAAAUAAUUAAACAAAAAUUAGUUGAUCAAAUUUCACUUUUAGUAAUUAUUCGAGUAAUUUGGAUUUGUUUAUAGUAUAAAACGUACUUGUUGAACGGACAAGCCGUCAAGAUGUCCGAUGAUGUGGUCGGAAGUGAGAGCGGAGUGUUGUGGACCGUAGAUUUCGGGGUCAAGAUUACUGACGGGUGGGAAAGUCUUGACUCUCUCAAUGUUGACUGGAUUGAUUCCAGCUAUGGCUUGACGUGCGAACUCGUCAUCUCGUAGCCAUGCGUUUUUAUCCUCUGCAUUCAUUUUAAAAAAAAAGUCAAUUAGUUAAUAACGCUGAUGUGCUAAGCAUGUUAUGAUUUUGAAUUAAUGAAAGGCAAACGCGCUUUUGUUUAUUCACAAACUAAUACUACUAUAACUAGCACGAGCGUUAUAACGAGUCAAGAAAAGCACGUGAAACAUGCAUAUGUUUGCUUAUGCACUCUUUUAUUCCUGCUUUUCAACUAAAAUGAUUAUUUCUUACUUUUUGGUAGGACGAUAACACUUCAUAAUGGUCCCAAUUAUCAAAGACCAACAAUCGCCACAAAAUCAAAGUUCAUUUUCUAUUAAAACACCCUUUUUAUUAAAAUCAAAAUUUGAUGUUAAAAUUUUUUAUGAAUUAAGUGAGCUUACUCGAUAAUAUUUUGGGAGUGUCGUAUUUGAGGAGUCCUUUCGAAGAUUCUUGGAGGGUAUUAACGAUGCCCUUAGGCAAAGGGAACUUGUUGAAUAUCUCAUCUUGAAAUCCUAACUUCAGUAGCAAGCCUUUUUUGUAGAGAUCAUCAAUCUCUCCGAAGUCAGAAAAGUCAUCAGCUAAAAUACUAGCUUUAAGCGACGGAACAAGGUGGUGUAACACCGCUUUUAACCUCCCUGCGGCGAAAGUGUCCUGCUUAGUCUCUUCAAAUUGCUCGUCUCGUGGCACGUACAUAGGUAAUGGCUUUUCCACUCGGCUCUCCGCUUCAUU
This 4490-nucleotide long non-coding RNA is filed under the name Brassica napus (rape). RNAcentral's name for it is "long non-coding RNA (BNAP_LNC007186)". Lineage: Eukaryota; Viridiplantae; Streptophyta; Magnoliopsida; Brassicales; Brassicaceae. The record is from RNAcentral.